GAUCCUGGCUCGGGAUGAACGCUAGCUACAGGCUUAACACAUACAAGUCGAGGGGAAACGACAUCGAAAGCUUGCUUUUGAUGGGCGUCGACCGGCGCACGGGUGAGUAACGCGUAUCCAACCUGCCUACCACUUGGGGAUAACCUUGCGAAAGUAAGACUAAUACCCAAUGACAUCCCACGAAGACAUCUGAAUGGGAUUAAAGAUUUAUCGGUGAUGGAUGGGGAUGCGUCUGAUUAGCUUGUUGGG
This 249-nucleotide ribosomal RNA is filed under the name uncultured bacterium. RNAcentral's name for it is "partial 16S ribosomal RNA". It matches the Rfam family "Bacterial small subunit ribosomal RNA", at positions 15 to 253 of the family's 1533-position model. The record is from RNAcentral.